This 2484-nucleotide long non-coding RNA is filed under the name Sus scrofa (pig). Its description in RNAcentral is "lncRNA (ENSSSCG00050036440.1)". The record is from RNAcentral. Lineage: Eukaryota; Metazoa; Chordata; Mammalia; Artiodactyla; Suidae.
UGGUGUACAAAAAUUCCAUACACCAUUUCAGGAGUUUCACAGACACCUGGAGCUCCUCCAGGGUCUUCCUUCCCUUGGAUCCCCUGGAUUAUAGAAUUUUGAGAAGGAGACAUACAUGAAGGGCAUUAUCACUUCAUGUUGUUUUAGUUCAUUCUUCCAUAUGCACUCAGAAUGGAGAAUUACAUUAAUACAACUUAUGAACUAAAGUAGAUUUUCUUAAUGUGUGCUCUAUAUUAGAAUCACCUACAGGGUUUAUAAAACAUCCAUAUUCCUAAAUCCUAUCCAGGUAUACUCAGAAUUUAUAGCGGUGGGGCCAUAUGAGAUACGUUUUUAACCAGCACCUAGCUGGUGGUGUUGCAGUGAUGAAGAGGGUACAGUUAGUCCUCAGUAUCAGUGAUGGAAGGGAUUGGUUCCAGGACCCCCUGAACAUACCAAAAUAAUACAGAUGCUCAAGUCCCUUAUAUAAAAUGGCAUAGCAUAAUCAGCCCUCCUUAUCCACGGGUUCUGCAUCCUUAUGUGCCGAGGAGAGCCGGCUGUAUCAUAGUGGAUAUUCUUUGCUUUUGACAUUCCAACAAAACAUGAGACAGGAAGAACUCAAGGGAAAAAAAUAUAAAAGAUUUUUUUUUUCAACUCCACCAAUUCUCAAGACAUUCUCCGUAGUCAGCACCAAUUUAAUCUAAGCAUAGGAACAUCUUUAGCUACAACGUGUUAGACAGGACAGCAUUUACCCUGGAGAAAGCUGGCUCCUUUACAUUAGCCAGAGCAUUAUACAAAGAACAUUAAUAUCACAUAAUCAUAGCGUUGGAAGCUACUGAUGGGUCCCAGUGGAUGAAGAUAAACAGUCAUCAUCCUUAACCUUAAAACGAUCACCUGCUAUAGCAGCCAAAGUCAUUUCUGUUCUGUGUCUUGAUUUGAAGAGAUCCAAAAUUUCACUAUAUAUCAGUCAAUCCUUCCAGGAAGGAUUUUGCAAAAUGCAAUAAUUGGCAAGUUUCUGGAAUCAGUAGCAUCUGUUGCUUAUCAGAAUUGUAUGAUUUUUUGACAUCUAUUUCUUUUCUGUAAAACAGUCACCAUGGCUUUAUUAUAAAAAAUGUUACUGAUCCCAAAUUCAUCUUUUGAUUCAGACAUUUCACACAUUCACUCCUAGUUAGAUACACAAUAUUUUAUGACUUAAUAUUAAACUACCAAAUCAAUGUGUUAUGCUUACUGGUUAUUUUCUAAUAAAGGAACUAAAAGGAGAAUGAAUAGUAGGUUAAUUAAAGAGUUAGCUAUUAAAUGAAGUUAUUGUUUUCAUUUCCCUGGCAUUCCAAUCUUGUUUGUGUAAUAUUUACAUAGAAGGAACAUAUAUUAACUGUUCUCAAGUAUUCAAUUCGUCUAAGAAUAAAGACUCAGUUCUCGCACAGCCAUUUUAUCCUUCCUUAAGUAUGGUGGCUUGUAUUUACAGUCUUUGAGAUCCUAGUACCUUAUUUCUUCUUCUUCUGGUUACAGCAAACCCUCUUCUUUCAAACAGUUCUUCCUUCCCUACUCUAGUCAUAAGCUCUUAUUGGAAGCUAUUGAUCACAGAACUCCACCCCUACCCCAAGCUGGACCAAUCAUAUCAUCUCACUUCAUCCAGGGACUCCUGGAUUGUCCUGGAUAUGGGCACAGAGUUUUUCCCCAAGAUUUUUUAAACUAGAGGUGAGGUAGUUAGGAAAAUGGCAAUAGGGAGAUGAAAAGUUUUCUUCUUUCUGAUGAUGAAGCUGUGAGUGCAUGAAAUCAGAGAGACUGAUAGCCAUGUACCCAGACACAUUGAGAAAGCAGAUCAGAAGCAAAAACAAUGAAGCCAUCAUAUCAAAGUGGAGGUGGUUUUAAGCAAUUACUUUAACUCUAAGUGCCUUAUGUGCUUCAGUGCUAUCUAAUGUUGAUGGCGACUGGGCACAUGUGGCUACUGAGCACUGGAAAUGUGGUUAGUGCAAACUGACUUGUUUUGUAUGUCUAAAUUAACAUUAGAUUUUGAAGACUUGGCAUGGGGGAAAAAGAAUGUCAAAUAUCUCAAUGAUUUUUUUGUAAUGAAUACAAGGAAGUUCUAAUAUAUUGCAUCUAUGUUUAAAUUAGAUCUUUACAUUUAAUUUAUCCUUAGUUUGUAAUAUGGCUUUUAGAAAUGUUUAUAUUGUAUGUGAGUCUCAAAUUAUGUUUCUAUUGAAACAGCUCUGCUCUCUAGUGAAUGUGUUUUUGAUUUGUUUAGCUACUUUGGGUGGGGUUUGUGCCAUUGGCAACCAACAGUGCCCUAAUUGAUGCUGAAAUCAGUAAUUGGAACAGAGGCAUUGAGAGGGAUAGAUUUAAAAUGUGGAAGUGGCUAUAUUAAGGUGUGAGGGGGGAGGGGGCAGGGAGAGUUUUUUCCACUUCUAAGUUAGGAAACGCAGUAGCCAAGCAGUUAGUUAAUUGUAACAAGUUAUUCAGAUCAUAUGCCUAUCCUCACUGAGCUAGAACUGUACAGGAAAAAAAAAA